ACAACCUUUGUCAGCAUACACAUCACAUUAUAACAAAUAGCUUCUGUAAAGUAUACCAGAUAUUCUACAUACCAGAUAUUCUACAAACGAAUUGUUUAAUUGAGAAUAAGAUGAAACAAGUUGGUUGGUUUAAUACGGAUUGGAUUCAAGUUCAAAUCAAUAUAACAAAAUUGGUAGGCGAACAAACCGUUUUUGUAAUAGAUUUACGUCGAUUCUGUUUUUCCAAUCAAAUUUUAAAUGUAAUAUUGCUAAUACUAUUGGCUCUACUUUUGUCGAGACUUUGGGAAAACAAACCAGAUAUUAAGCUUAAAAAUCCAAGGCGAAAUCGAACUGUAGAAAUAAUAUUCUUGUUUUUAAAUAUUACUUGGGUUUUACUUUAUUGUUUGCUAAUCACUGAGAGUUUAUUUUGGCUACUUUCUUCUUCUUACUUCAAGACAAGUUCAAGAACUUUGAUUCUAUAUCAUCUUUUUGUUAUAUUCGGUUAUCAUAUUAUAGA
This is a non-coding RNA of Hydra vulgaris (swiftwater hydra), 496 nucleotides long. Lineage: Eukaryota; Metazoa; Cnidaria; Hydrozoa; Anthoathecata; Hydridae. The record is from RefSeq and is a predicted model, not a curated record.